Long non-coding RNA from Daphnia pulex (common water flea), 909 nucleotides. RefSeq lists it as uncharacterized. The transcript is spliced from 2 exons. NCBI's taxonomy places the organism in Eukaryota, Metazoa, Arthropoda, Branchiopoda, Diplostraca, Daphniidae. The record is from RefSeq and is a predicted model, not a curated record.
AAACAAGAUGAUUGGAGUUCCAUUCCACGUUAUCAUCUCUGCUGGUACAUCAUCUCAGUCGAAGGAGAACUCAAAAAGUCUUUGAGCCUAUAAAUACUGCUGGCAAAGCCGCCCCCCAUUUUCCUCCUCAGUGUUAUCGACCAGAUUUUUAUCUUUGAUCCUUUUCAAACAGAAACUUUGACCCCUUCCUCUCUGGUCCAUUGAUUGAUUUCAUUUUUCUUACCCCCAGGAUUUUAUUUUUCCCAUUUAAAAAAAUUUUGUUCAUUUCAAUUUUUCUUUUUCUCCGUUCCAUUUUUCACUCGACCAAAAAGAUGAAAUUUUCCACACACGCAUCCACACUCUAUCAAAACGCCUUCCCUUCACACUCCCCAUGGCCGAUUGAUGGGUGUGUUCCUUCUCUUCUGGAUGUGAGUGGGUGGGUGUGUGUGUGUGCAACCAGUCUGAUAAAAAAAAGAAAAAGGAAAAAAGAUCCUCAGCCACCCAACAACAGCAACUACACCCAAACAGCGCAACCCCCAAACACAACACACAGAGAAAAAGAGAGAGAUGCCUCCACAAUGAUGUCACUCUCUGCUCGACGGAGCGUGUACAGCAGAAGCAGCAGCCAAGGACAAGACAGAGAAGGGCCAAAAAAUAAAAAAUGAAAAUCAAAUCAAAUAUAAAAAGAUCUUCUUCUUUUUACAGAGUUCCUUCCUCCUCAACACGACAGACUCGACAACAGCACUUGCCGGACUCAAACAACAACUUUGUGGGGGUUUUCUUGGAUUGUCGGACAUCACCGACGAUCCUUGGAAGGAUCGAAAUCUUUUAUUGAAGAUUUAUCAACUUGGUUGAUUUAGACAUACUAUUGAUAAAACGUUUUGUGUUGAGAAGAAGAAGAAGAACAAAAAUAAAAGCCGAAUAAAAGUU